Molecule: ribosomal RNA, 468 nt
Filed under: uncultured bacterium
Lineage: Bacteria
Description: partial 16S ribosomal RNA
Rfam family: Bacterial small subunit ribosomal RNA
Source: RNAcentral
GACGAACGCUGGCGGCGUGCUUAACACAUGCAAGUCGAACGGAAAGGCCCUGCUUUUGUGGGGUGCUCGAGUGGCGAACGGGUGAGUAACACGUGAGUAACCUGCCCUUGACUUUGGGAUAACUUCAGGAAACUGGGGCUAAUACCGGAUAGGAGCUCCUGCUGCAUGGUGGGGGUUGGAAAGUUUCGGCGGUUGGGGAUGGACUCGCGGCUUAUCAGCUUGUUGGUGGGGUAGUGGCUUACCAAGGCUUUGACGGGUAGCCGGCCUGAGAGGGUGACCGGCCACAUUGGGCCUGAGAUACGGCCCAGACUCCUACGGGAGGCAGCAGUGGGGAAUAUUGCACAAUGGGCGGAAGCCUGAUGCAGCAACGCCGCGUGCGGGAUGACGGCCUUCGGGUUGUAAACCGCUUUCGCCUGUGGCGAAGCGUGAGUGACGGUAAUGGGUAAAGAAGCACCGGCUAACUACGUG